GACGAACGCUGGCGGCGUGCCUAAUACAUGCAAGUCGAGCGAAGUUUUUCUGGUGCUUGCACUAGAAAAACUUAGCGGCGAACGGGUGAGUAACACGUAAAGAACCUGCCUCAUAGACUGGGACAACUAUUGGAAACGAUAGCUAAUACCGGAUAACAGUAUUUCUCGCAUGAGAGAUAUUUAAAAGUUGGUUAUGCUAACACUAUGAGAUGGCUUUGCGGUGCAUUAGCUAGUUGGUGGGGUAAAGGCCCACCAAGGCGACGAUGCAUAGCCGACCUGAGAGGGGGAUCGGCCACACUGGGACUGGGACACGGCCCAGACUCCUACGGGAGGCAGCAGUAGGGAAUCUUCCGCAAUGGGCGAAAGCCUGACGGAGCAACGCCGCGUGAGUGAAGAAGGAUUUCGGUUCGUAAAGCUCUGUUGUUAGGGAAGAAUGGAUAUGUAGUAACUAUACAUGUAAGAGACGGUACCUAACCAGAAAGCCACGGCUAACUACGUG
This 499-nucleotide ribosomal RNA is filed under the name uncultured bacterium. RNAcentral describes it as "partial 16S ribosomal RNA". It matches the Rfam family "Bacterial small subunit ribosomal RNA", at positions 28 to 507 of the family's 1533-position model. The record is from RNAcentral.